GUCGAGCGAUCCCUUCGGGGAUAGCGGCGGACGGGUGAGUAACGCGUGGGAACGUGCCCUUCACUACGGAAUAGCCCAUGGAAACGUGGAUUAAUACCGUAUACGCCCUUUGGGGGAAAGAAUUUCGGUGAAGGAUCGGCCCGCGUCUGAUUAGGUAGUUGGUGGGGUAAUGGCCUACCAAGCCGACGAUCAGUAGCUGGUUUUAGAGGAUGAUCAGCCACACUGGGACUGAGACACGGCCCAGACUCCUACGGGAGGCAGCAGUGGGGAAUCUUAGACAAUGGGGGCAACCCUGAUCUAGCCAUGCCGCGUGAGUGAUGAAGGUCUUAGGAUCGUAAAGCUCUUUCGCCUGUGAUGAUAAUGACAGUAGCAGGUAAAGAAACCCCGGCUAACUCCGUGCCAGCAGCCGCGGUAAUACGGAGGGGGUUAGCGUUGUUCGGAAUUACUGGGCGUAAAGCGCGCGUAGGCGGACUGGAAAGUUGGGGGUGAAAUCCCGGGGCUCAACCCCGGAACUGCCUUCAAAACUAUCAGUCUAGAGUUCGAGAGAGGUGAGUGGAAUUGCGAGUGUAGAGGUGAAAUUCGUAGAUAUUCGCA
This 594-nucleotide ribosomal RNA is filed under the name uncultured Sediminimonas sp. RNAcentral's name for it is "bacterial SSU rRNA". It matches the Rfam family "Bacterial small subunit ribosomal RNA", at positions 61 to 702 of the family's 1533-position model. The record is from RNAcentral. Lineage: Bacteria; Pseudomonadati; Pseudomonadota; Alphaproteobacteria; Rhodobacterales; Roseobacteraceae.